CCGCAGCCCUUGCGCUUGAAAAAGGCCCAACGUGGUUGCGCCAGCGUACAGGCAAGCGCGUGGGCACCGGGUGCUUCCAUUGGACUGUCCAUUGCAGCGCACGGUGUGCGCUUGAACGCAUGUCUCGGAGACUACAGGGCGCACAAGGAGCGCAAAGCCACGUCGGUAGUUGCCCGUGUCUACCGAGACUGGCCCGUGACCGGCGGAGAAAGACGAGGAUGACAUCGAAGGUCGGCAUGGCCCUAACGUCCGUGGGCGACACACACGCUAACAAUGACCAAUGAGAAGUGCGACGCGAAGCCGAAAGCGGAGCUAAUCGCCUAAACGUGGUCUCAGUGAGAUCGGGGGCUGAACUCGCCCACAUGAGCGAGUUGCUAGUAACGCGUAAGGCAAUCUCAAUCCCAUCCACUGCGCCGUCACAUGCGUCUAAGCCCAUUCGCCUUAG
This 445-nucleotide ribosomal RNA is filed under the name uncultured bacterium. RNAcentral's name for it is "bacterial SSU rRNA". The record is from RNAcentral.